Molecule: long non-coding RNA, 38575 nt
Filed under: Populus trichocarpa (black cottonwood)
Lineage: Eukaryota; Viridiplantae; Streptophyta; Magnoliopsida; Malpighiales; Salicaceae
Description: long non-coding RNA (PTRI_LNC000741)
Rfam family: MIR2912 microRNA precursor family (bases 19037-19191)
Source: RNAcentral
AACAUCAAAUCAGUUUUCUCGAAACCUUCUCUUUAUUUCACAGAGCACAGAACCAACUCCUGAUUCAUCAAUAUCAUAUUAGUUCUCUCUAAAGCUUCCCUUUAAUUUACGGUUUUAAACCUUCUCUUGUUCUAGUUUGUGAGUAAAUUAAGAGAGACCAAAAAUGAGUGUGGAGAUUUUGGAUGGUGCCACCAUUGUCAACUUUCUGGAGGACGAGGAAGCAUUCAGCGCGCAAAUAUGUGACCGCUUCGCCCACCUUGAUUCAGACCAUGAUGGCCGGCUUUCCUACGGGGAAAUGUUGAAGGAGCUGCAGUGUUUGAGGUUAUUGGAAACCCACUUCGGCGUAGAUGUGGAAACAGACCCGGAUGAGCUUGCUCUCGUCUAUGGUUCUCUUUUUGUCCAAUUUGAUCAUGACUUGAAUGGGACAGUGGACUUAGAAGAGUUCAAGUCAGAGACCAAGCAAAUGAUGCUAGUCAUGGCCAGUGGUAUGGGUUUCUUGCCUGUUCAGAUGGUACUGGAAGAAGACAGUUUCCUGAAGAAGGCUGUGGAGUGGGAAUCUGCUAAACUCGUUGCCUGAUUAAUUCCACAUCCAUUACCCUAUACAUGACUCAUUAAUUGUCUUCGUUAUUUCUUUCUUCUCCGAAUGCAUUCCGAGUUUAGCUGAAUGUAGCAAAGAAAAUAAAUGAAAUGCUCUGUUAUUGGUGCAAUUUGGUCAUGACCAUCCAGCCAUAGUUAAUAUAACAAAAGGCUGACAGAAACACAAAUAUCUUUCCUCUUUCAAGAGGGCUUCAUAAAUGGGCACAAGGAUUGAGCUGGAUCCAUCUCGGUCAUCGCUCAAAAUUUAGCUUCAAGGGAAUGGAAUUGGUAGAACAGAGUAGCAUCAGAAUGGGAAAAGAACUUGCUUGUGGAGGGAACAGAUGAAAAUUAAAGAAAUAACUGUCCUAAUAUAAAGUAUAGUUAAAUUAAAACUUCGAGUCGAAUCUGUUGUGCGUCUAAACACCUAAUUCCAUCAUGAUUUGUUUAGCAUGCGUAUGAAACAAACUUCCCGCAUUGAAAAGAGGGAAGCAUCAAGCACUUAAUAUCCUAUAUAUGCAGGAACGCUACUUGAACAAAGAACCUGGAUGGUUAAAAACAACACACUUGCAGGCUUGUAGCUCCUGAUAUUUUCAGCUCAUGUGAAGAUGGACAAUGAUGGUUGAAAAAUCUUUGUAUGUUUUAUUUGAGUAGAAUACUCAUUACAAUAUUAUCAUUUUAAAAAAAUUUGUCUUUUUCAUCUAGACAUGUUGCCCAUUAUAAUAAGACCACUCGAAAAAAAUCUUUGUGUUUCUUUACUUGGAUAGGUUAUCCAUUACUAUGAGACUACUUUGAAAAGAUCUUUGAGUUUUUUAUUUGGGUGGGUCACCCAUGACAAAUUGAACAUUUCAGAAUCUUUGAAUUCUACCAAUAGACAGGUUGUUUGGUACUACCAUAUCACUUCAAAAGUCUUUCACAAAGAUAAUCUUUUUCUUUAGAAACUCUAUCUCCUUUUCUUUCAUGUACACUUUCUAACCCUCGUUUUUUAGAAAGUGUGAUUUUUAUCCUUAUCUAUUUUUUCUCUGAGUGCGCUUUUAAGCCCUCAUUGCAAACAUUUUUCAGAAGGAUUGACCAUUUUUUAAUAUGGUGAGUCCAUAAUCUCGUUCUUUUCUUCUUCUUUACAAAGCUUAUUGUCUAAAGUCUCUCACAAGACUCUCGUUAUAAACAUUGUAAAAAGAGGGGGCAACUGUCAUAAUUCAUUUCUGGAUUAUUUUCUAAAUUCACCUUUUUUCUUUCCAAAAUAAAAGUCAAAAAAGAAAAUAAAGAAAGCAAGAAAACUAGCGACUUGGAAAAGUAGGCUGAAGAGGAUUUCAUACUGGAGAGACAAUGCAAAUUAAAUGGUUAUUGGAUGAAUCUAUUUAAAAAUUAAGCCCGGGGAUAUAAUUAGAAUUUUAAUAGGCCAAUUUGAUUUAAUCAUGGGCCAAAUUGAGAAUUUAAUUAUGUUUAAGAAUUAAUUUGGGUCCAAUUAAAGGAUUUAAUUAGGUGCAAGAACUUAAUUAUACAUUAAAUAUGUCAAAUUAAUUUUAUUAAGAGCUUAAUUGAUGAAAAUCUAAGUUUAGAAGCCCAAUUUGAGCUUAAUUGAGAAAAUUAGAAUUUUAGAAGACCAAAUUUAAUUUCCAUAAAGUCAAUUGGUUCAAAUUAGAGGUAAAAUUGCAAGAAAAUCAAUUUUUUAGGGUUAAAUUGAAGAGAUUCGCAACUAAGGAUCAUUUUGCAAAAAACAUCGAACUAUGGGGUAAUUAACGAAAAUCAGGAGUGAAAUUGAAGAAAAUUUAAAGUUUGAUGGUCAAUUGAUGGUCAAAUUGCAUAAAUCCAAGACCAAUGACCAAAUUAAAAAAGGUGCUGAAAUUCGGGGCUGAUAUUGAAUUCGGCAAGGGCAAAAUUGUAUUAAAUCAAAAGUUUGGAGUUAAUUAGAGGUCAAAUUGAAAGAAAUCAAAAGCUGAAUGAUCAAAUUGAACUUUGGAAAAAAAACCUUAAUUUAAGGUCCAAAACGGAGUUGUUUUUUAACAUUAAAAAAUAAGGCAACCAGACGACGCGUCGUCUGGUUAAUGUUCAUUGCCUUCUUUUUUUGACCUGAAAAAGUUGUCUGGAUGGCUAUUUUUCAGGGGCAUUUAAUGCUUCAUCUCUCAACCAAAUCGGACAAACCAUACACCACCAUGAUGAGCUGACAUUAUACUUCACCCCAUAGUGGAUCUCGCUGGCUAAUUGUCCUUACAGCCGCCACAGUGUCGCCUCAAAUUGGUCAACAUGACCAACCUUUAGCAACCAACUUUUUCAGGUCAUGAUAACAACUUUGAACCAAAGGUUAAGAUCCUUCUGUUUCGAAUCAAGGGCCAAGAUUGGCACCAGUAAAGACAAGAUGUUCAUCUUUCAUCCUCUAUAAAUAGAGGUGCAUUCCAUGCCCUGAGCAUCAAGAAAUUAGAGCCCAAAUUUGGUGAAAAUAAGUUUUUCUUACCAGAUCUUUUCUUCUUCUCCACCAGCCAUCUUCUUCCUCUUUUUUCGCAACAUCUUCACUUGCAGCGAUGCUGCCAACAACACAUUGGCCUUCCUAGCACUGCUAAUUAGCAAUCCCCCAUAGUUGGUAACCUUUUUCUUCCCCUUUUUUGAUGCAAACAAGGAUCCAUUUGCAAGCAUAACAUUGGUUCUGCAUGCAAAAAUCAACCACUUCACAUGGUCAUUGGGUCAGGCCAAUGACCAUGUAAAGAUGGGUUGAACCCAUUCCAACCCAGCCCAUGAUGGCUUGAUCGAGUCCAGCCCAUAAAAAAGAAAAGAUGAAGGCCAGGUCUAUUGGGCUGCCUGGCAGCAUGACCCGACCCGGCUAGGUUUGGCCCAGAUGUCUGGGUAGGGCCCAGCCCAAUAUAUAUAAUAAUAAUAUAUUAAUAAAUAAUAUUAAAAUAUUAAAAAAAUCGAAAGCCCUUCCAAAUAAUUUGUGAUUUUCUCGCAUGUUUUUUUUUUUUUAUCAAUUUUGCAUGAUAUUAGGAUGUAUAAUUAUACUAUAUGAUACAUAUCCGAUAUUAAAAUACCUAGUUUUUUCUGAAACAUUUCAAAAAAAAAUUCAAAAAUUCAAAAAAAAAUUCAAAAUUUUUAAAUUAAUUUCCUCUUUCAAAAAAACAAAAAAUAUUUUGUUUUCAUGUAUAUAGUCAAAUCCUUAAAGUUUUCCAAGCAUGUUUUCAUAAAAAAAACAAAAAAUUGUAUUUUUCUCAUGUUUUAAAAUGUAAAAUGGAUAUCAUAACUAAUUUAUGAUUAUCUGUUAGGGUUUAGCCAAAAUGUCAAAAACCCUUCACCAACUAUUUUUUUCAUUUUAUAUUAUGGUUUAAAUGUAGACUUAAAUAUUUAGGGGCGUAAAACUAUACAGUAGAGUACACCCUCAGGUAUUAAAGAUAAAAGUUCAAUAUAAAUGCAAUUCUAAAAUUUAGACUUUAGAACGGUUGGAUUCAACCUCAUAAGGUAUAGAUUUUCUCACGAAGAGAGAUAUAUAUAUAUCUUAAACCUUAGACGAUUCCAACGAAUAGAAACUUAACUUAGAAUAACAAUUAAAUAACAAUGUAGCUUACUUCAGGUAGGCUGUACUGGAGAUAAUACGCAUUUUCCUUGCACAAUCAGUCUCUUAAUCAAACUCUCACAGACCAUAGAUUUCAUAGUAACUAUUAUACUAAGUAGCGACUCUUAAAUCUUAAUUAUAAUUUUAUAGUUACAUCCAAAACUCUUUUCUUUCCUAAUAAUACCUCUCAAGAGGCACUUAAAAUGGGUCGUUUGACGUCGCCCGUGACAUAAUCCAUUAAACAUGAAAUGGAAAUAAAUAAGUAAAGAAUAUUGCAAGCAUCAAGUUGUAGAAGUCCAUCUCUGGAAAAAAAAAAAAAAGAAGAAGAACAAGAACAAGAAAAAAUUCAGUUCGAACCUUAAUUAAGUUUGUUUAAAUCUCUAUCACACCCAUUAUUUAAUGUUUGACAAACAACACAAGUAGAAUAGGUGAAAUCAAACCUAUAGUACAAUAUUUGCAUUUUUGUUGUGUUGUGAGAAAAAUAAAUAAAAAAGAACAUGGUCCGUCUCGGAAGGAGAAGGGAAAUUGACCGUUGUCGCUGCUUUUGACAGGGGGUUUGAAAUUAGCAACACCAUCUUGGGAUCUUCGAGAAAGUCAACUUUCAUUUAAUUUUCGACUUUAUACACACGGCUAGCCCACCGAAUUUUAUUAGGGGAAAACCCGUUCCCAAGUUGCCAUUGCCAUUAGAUUAAGACUUAUGGCUCGCCUGUUUAAGAUAGUUCUCAUAAUAAAAUUUUAGUGGCUGACCGACCGAUCCUCGAAGCAGCAGAUUCUGCAAAGCGUCCAAAAACCAUGCAGCAAAGGGUAAUUAGAAGCAUGUCAGAAAGCAAAAACCAAAUGGAAACUGGGUGCUAACUAUAUUUCUGACUGCUCGUCAACUGUCUGUGUGCCCCUCAUUUACGUAUAAAUGAGCACAAGACCAGCUUCUUAUUCAUCAACAUCAAAUCAGUUAUCUCGAAACCUUCUCUUUAUUUCACAGAGCACAGAACCAACUCCUGAUUCAUCAAUAUCAUAUUAGCUCUCUCUAAAGCUUCCCUUUAAUUUACGGUUUUAAACCUUCUCUAGUUCUAGUUUGUGAGUAAAUUAAGAGAGACCAAAAAUGAGUGUGGAGAUUUUGGAUGGUGCCACCAUUGUCAACUUUCUGGAGGACGAGGAAGCAUUCAGCGCGCAAAUAUGUGACCGCUUCGCCCACCUUGAUUCAGACCAUGAUGGCCGGCUUUCCUACGGGGAAAUGUUGAAGGAGCUGCAGUGUUUGAGGUUAUUGGAAACCCACUUCGGCGUAGAUGUGGAAACAGACCCGGAUGAGCUUGCUCUCGUCUAUGGUUCUCUUUUUGUCCAAUUUGAUCAUGACUUGAAUGGGACAGUGGACUUAGAAGAGUUCAAGUCAGAGACCAAGCAAAUGAUGCUAGCCAUGGCCAGUGGUAUGGGUUUCUUGCCUGUUCAGAUGGUACUGGAAGAAGACAGUUUCCUGAAGAAGGCUGUGGAGUGGGAAUCUGCUAAACUCGUUGCCUGAUUAAUUCCACAUCCAUUACCCUAUACAUGACUCAUUAAUUGUCUUCGUUAUUUCUUUCUUCUCCGAAUGCAUUCCGAGUUUAGCUGAAUGUAGCAAAGAAAAUAAAUGAAAUGCUCUGUUAUUGGUGCAAUUUGGUACCUUAAAACUUGGUUCUCUCCUAAUGCAAUUUGGUCAUGACCAUCCAGCCAUAGUUAAUAUAACAAAAGGCUGACAGAAACACGAAUAUCUUUCCUCUUUCAAGAGGGCUUCAUCAACUAAUAGAUACAUGGGCACAAGGAUUGAGCUGGAUGCAUCUCAGUCAUCGUGUGUCAGGUCCAGGGGAACAGAUGAAAAUUAAAGAAAUAACUAUCCUAAUAUAAAGUUCAGUUAAAUAAAAACUUUGAGGCGAAUAUGUGGUGCGGUUUAAUUAUAUUUUAUGCUCUAAACACAUAAAUCAAGGUAUUUGAGAGACUGGUAACAAUUACUUUUCAAAGUGUUUUUCAUUCUAAAACACAUUAAAAUAUUGUUUUUUUUUUUAAAAAAAAUUAUUUUUGAUAUCAGCAUAUCAAAAUAAUUUAUAAAUAUAAAAAAUAUAUUAAUUUAAAGCAAAAUAAAAAAUAAAUUUUUUUUAAUUUUAUUUAAAAACACUUUCAAAACAUAAUACUCAAACACUACAGUGAUCAUUAUUUGUUUAGCAUGCAUGUGAAACAAACUUCCCGCGUUGAAAAGAGGGAAGCACUUAAUAUCCUAUAUAUACAGGAACGCAACUUGAACAAAUAACCUAGAUGCUUCAAAACAACACACUUGCAGGCUUCUAGUUCCUGAAAUUUUCAGCCUCUUGUGAAGAUGUGGAUAAUGAUUGUUGAAAAAUCUUUGUAUUUUUUAUUUGAGUAAAUCACUUAUUAUAAUGAGAUUAUUUUUAAAAAAUCUUUAUCAUUUUCAUCUUAGCAGGUCACCCAUUACAAUAAAACCAGUUGAAAAAAAUCUUUGUAUUUUUUCACCAGGAUAAGUCACUCAUUAUAAUGAGAUUACUUUAAAAAGACCUUUGAGUUUUUCAUUUGGUCAUUGAACAUUUCAAAAUCUUUGAAUUCUACUAAUAGACAAGUUGCCUGAUACUACCAUAUCACUUCAAAAGUCUUUCACAAAUAUCAUCUUUUUCUUUAGAAACCCUAUCUUUUUUUCUUUCGAUUACACUUUCUAGCCCUCGUUCUUUAGAUAGUAUGCUUUUUAUCCCUAUCUAUUUUUCCUCUUAGUGCGCUUUUAAGCCCUCAUUGCAAACAUUUUUCAGAAGGAUUGACAAUUUUUUAAUAUAGUGAGUCCAUAAUCUCUUUCUUUUUCUUUUUCUUUACACAGUUUAUUGUCUAAAGUCUUGCACGAGACUUUCAUUCUAAACAUUUUGAAGAGGGGGAAAACUGUCAUAACUCAUUUCUUGGUUAUUUUCUAAAUUUACCUAUUUUCUUUUCAAAAUAAAAGUCAAAAAAGAAAAUAAAGAAAGCAAGAAAACUAGCAACUUGAAAAAGUAGGCUGAAGAGGAUUUCAAACAUAUAGAAAGAUUAAGUUGCAACUUUGGAAGCCUAAUUGUACCCCAUUUUACCCAAAAUUGGAGAGACAAUGCAAAUUCAAGGUCAAAUUAAAUGGUUAAUGGAUGAAUAUGGUUAAAAAUUAAGCCCGGGGAUAUAAUUAAAAUUUUAAUAGGCCAAUUUGAUUUAAUCAUGGGCUAAAUUGAUAAUUUAAUUAUCUUUAAGAAUUAAUUUGGAUCCAAUUAAAGGAUUUAAUUAGGUGUAAGGACUUAAUUAUACUUUAAAUGGGUCAAAUUAAUUUUAUUAGGGGCUUAAUUGGUGAAAAUCUAAGUUUGAAAGCCUAAUUUGGACAUAAUUGAAAAAAUUAAAAUUUUAGGAGAUCAAAUUUAAUUUUUAUAAAGUGAAGUGGUUCAAAUUAGGGGUAAAAUCGCAAGAAAAUCAAACUUUUGGGGUCAAUUAAGGGUUAAAUUGAAGAGAUUUGCAACUAUGGACCAUUUUGCAAAAAACAUUGAACUAAGGGGUAAUUGAUGAAAAUCAGGGGUGAAAUUGAAGAAAAUUUAAAGUUUAAUGGUCAAUUGAUGGUCAAAUUGCAUAAAUCCAAGACCAAGGAUCAAAUUGAAAGGACAAUGAAAUUCAGGGUUGAUAUUGAAAUUCGGCAAGGGCAAAAUUCCAUUAAAUAAAAAAUUUGGAGUCAAUUAGGGGUCAAAUUGAAAGAAAUCAAAAGCUGAAGGACCAAAUUGAACUUUGAAAAAAACCCUAAUUUAAAGUCAUGGAGUUGUUUUUUAACAGUAAAAAAAAAAAGGCAACUAGACGACGCAUUGUCCAGUUACUGUUCAUUGUCUUCUUCUUUUGACCCGAAAAAGUUGUCCGGGUGGCUAUUUUCCAAGGACAUUUAAUGCUUCAUUUCUCAACCAAACCAGACAAACCAUAUACCACCAUGAUGAGCUGACAUUAUACUUCACCCUAUAGUAGAUCUCGCCAGCCAAUUGUCCUUGCAGCCGCCCCAAAUUGGCCAACCUGACCAGCCUUUAGCAACCAACUUUUUCAGGUCAUGAUAGCAACUUUGAACCAAUGGUUGAGAUCUUUCUGUGUUGAAUCAAGGGCCAAGAUUUGACACCAGUAAAGACAAGAUAUCCAUCUUCCAUCUUCUAUAAAUAGAGGUGGAUUCCAUGCCCUGAGCAUCAAGAAAUCAGAGCCCAAAUUUGGUGAAAAUCAGUUUUUCUUACCAAAUCUUUUCUUCUUCUCCACCAUACAUCUUCUUCAUCCUCUUUCGCAACGUCUUUGUCAUCAGCAACGGUGACAACAACACGUCGGCCUUCCUAGCACUGCUAACUAGCAAUCCCCCAUAGUUGGUAACCUUUUUCCUCCCUCUUUUAGAUGCAAAUGGGGUAGCCAUUUGCAUGCAGAACCAAUGUUGGUUCUGCAUGCAAAAAUUAACCACCUCACAUGGUCAUUUGGUCAUUGGGCUGGGCCAAUGACCAUGUGAAGAUGGGUUGGACCCAUUCCAACCUAACCCAUGAUGGCUUGGUCAGGUCGAGCCUAUAAAAAAAGGAUAAAGGCCAGGUCUAUUGGGUUGCCUACCCAACCGGGUUGGGUUCGGCCCAAAUGGCUGGGUCGGGCCCAGCCCAAUAUAUAUAAUAAUAAUAUAUUGAUAAAUAAUAAUAUUAAAAAAACAAAAAAAAUUCCAAAAAAAUUUCAAAAGCCCUUUAAAAAAAAUUGUGAUUUUCUCGCAUGUUUUUCUAUCAAUUUUGGAUUGUAAAAUUACAAUAUAUGAUACAGAUCCGAUAUUAAAAUACCCAGUUCUUUCUGAAACAUUUCAAAAAAAUUCAAAAAUUCAAAAAAAUUUAAAUUAAUUUCUUUUUUCAAAAUUCCAAAAAAAAUUUCAAAAGCCCUUUCUUUUCAUGUAUAUGGCCAGAUCCUCAAAGUUUUCCAAGCAUGUUUUCAUAAAAAGCAAAAAAUUGUAUUUUUCUCAUAUUUUAAAAUGUAAAAUGGAUAUCAUAACUAGUUUAUGAUUAUUUGUUACGGUUUGGUCAAAAUAUCAAAAACCCUUCACCAAUUAUUUUUUUUUCAUUUUAUAUUACGGUUUAGAUAUAGACUUUAAUAUUUGGGGGCGUAAAAUUAUACAGCUGAGUAUACCCUCAUGUAUUAAAAAUAAAGGUUCAAUAUAAAUGCGAUACUAAAAUUUAGACUUUAGAAAAGUUAGGAUUCAACCUCAUAAGGUAUAGAUUUCCUCACAAAGGCAAAUCAACCUUAAACCUUAGACUAUUCCAACGAAUAUAAACUUAACUUAGAAUAACAAUCAAACAAGAAUUCAGCUUAUUUCAGGUAGAGUACACUGGGAAUAAUGUGUAUUUUCUUUGCACAAUUAGUCCCUUACUUAGACUCUCACAGACCAUAGAUUUUCUAGUAAUCAUAAUAUUAAGUGGCGACUCCUAAACUUAAUUGUGAUUUUAUAAUUAAACUUAAAACAUUUUUUUUCCUAAUAAUAACUCUCAAGAGACACUUAAAACAAGUCGUUUCACGUUGUUCCGUGACAUAAUCCAUUAAACAUGAAAUGGUAAUAAAUAAGUAAAGAAUAUUGCAAUCAUCAAGUUCUAAAAGUCCAUCUCUGGAAAAAAAAACAAGAAGAAAAAAUUCAGUUCGAACCUUAAUUAAGUUUGUUUAAGGCCAUGUUUGUUUCCCGGAAUUCACUUUCCGGGAAAUUACUUUCCAAACUUUCCUGUGUUUGUUUGCCAUUAGAAAAGUUGGUCAACGGAAAACACUUUUCGGUCAACGGAAAACACUUUUCAGUCAACGGAAAUACUUUCCGGUCAACGGAAAACACUUUCCAGUCAAAGAAAAAUUUGGUUUGGUUUCCAGGAAAAUGUUUUCCCUUUUGGCUGUGUUUGUUUUCCGGAAAAUGGUUUCCGGGAAACCACUUUCCAAACUUUCCUGUGUUUUUUUGCCAUUAGAAAAGUUGGUCAACGAAAAGCACUUUCCAGUCAAAGGAAAAUUUGGCUUGGUUUUCAGGAAAGUGUUUUCCUGGAAAAUUUGGGCGGAAAACACUUUCCGGAAGUUGUGAAAAAUUUAGAAAUGUCAUUAUUUGCUGAUUAUAUCAAAUUUGAUCCUCAAACUUUUGAUUGCUAUAUAUAAUUUGUUUUGAAUAUUUAUUUUUCAAUUCCAUCUCUUAAAAUUUAAUUUUUAUAUUAAUUUUGGUCCUUAUUUUUAUAAUUGUUAUUUUCUUUUUUCUUAUCAUUUUUUUAUUGAAAUUUUUUAUUUAUCAAAUUUGAUCCUUAUUUUUUUUAUUGUUACUUUUUUUAUUUGAAAUAAUUUAUGAAAUGUUAAUUAUUAUUAUUUUAAUUUAUUCACCUUUUAUUUUUUUUUAAUUUUUUAGAUUUGAUCUCUAUUAUUUUGAUUAUUAUUUAUUUUAUUUGAGAUAAUUUAUGAAAUUAUAUUUUUUUUCAAUUUCAUUCUCAUUCAACUUUUUACUUUGUAAGAUUUGUUCCUCAUUAUUUUAAUAAACUUGAGAAUAAAACAUUAAUAAGUUAUUUUCCAGCUCAUUUUCCAUUACAUAACCAAACACUGGAAAAUGUUUUCCAACUUAUUUUUCAUUACACUACCAAAUAUCGAAAAAUACUUUUCCGGAAUUCACUUUCCAAAAGAAAACUACUUUCCAGCAAACAAACGGGACCUAAAUCUCUAAGAAGUUCUAAAAGUCCAUCUUUGAAAAAUAAAAAAUUCAGUUCGAACCUUAAUUAAGUUGGUUUAAAUCUCUAAGGCAACUAUAUGCCCAUUAUUUAAUGUUUGACAAACAACACAUGUAGAAUAGGUGAAAUCAAACAUAUAGUACGAUAUUUAAUUAUUGUGGGAAAAAAUAAAUAAAAAGAGAACAUGGUCUAUCUCGGAAGGAGAAGGGAAAUUGACCGCUGUCGGUGUUUUUGACGGGGGGUUUUCAAAUUUAGCAACACCAUUUUGCGACCAUCGAGUAAGUCAAGUUUCAUUUAAUUUUCGACUUUAUAAACACGGCUAGCCCACCGAAUUUUAUUAGGGGAAAAGCCCGUUCCCAAGUUGCCAUUGCCAUUAGACUAUGACUGAUGGCUCGCCUGUUUAAGAUGGUUCUAAUAAUAUUUUUUUAGUGGCUGACCGACCGAUCCUCGAAGCAGUAGAUUCUGCAAAGCGUCCAAAAACCAUGUAGCAAAGGGUAAUUAGAAGCAUGUCAGAAAAGCAAAAACCAAAUGGAAACCGGGUGCUAACUAUAUUUCUGACUGCUCGCCAACUGUCUGUGUGCCCCUCAUUUACAAACUUCCCGCAUUGGAUCACAAAAACAAUGACAUCUCAGGAGAUGGAAUGAAGGAGAGAAUGCUUUCGCCAAACAGCUCAAACAGGGAUACCAGAAGACGCCCAGUAUUCAAGUCAUCGUUCCAAACCUGUUGAGAAUGUGAUGCGGAAAAAUAAAUAAAAAGAAUUAAAGCAAUACAGAACCAAAUUUUAAAGAAAAAAGUUAAAAAUUAAAAGUAAAGAAAGGAAAAAGAAAAGGAAGAAGAGAGAAUUCAGGAACAAAAGUUUGUCAUUUCUAUUUAAUCAUAAAAACCUCUCUCAAACUGAAAGAAAAAUAUAAAAAUAAUAUAACCCUAAAACAUCCAACUAUUAGGCUUAACCAUCAAUUAAAAUUGUCUAAUAUAAAUUACUCAAAUAAAUAAAAUAAAAUAAUGACAUAGGUCCAAAAGGGUCCAGGCUGGGCUAUCCUACGUCAUUUUUGUUCAUAUACUUGUGUAAUCUGCAGUGUGGGUCUAGUGUCCCCACCAACUCUCCGGGGUUGGAAAAAAUCGACCCUGUUGAGUGUAGUUCUGGAUGGCCCUGAUAGCACUCCUAAAGAUUUGAAUCAAUCUACUGCAAAGUCUCUCUGGUGAUCGAAGUGCAAUCUAAAUCAGGUCAGCCCUCCCAAUGAACUAGAAACCGUCAAACCACACAAUUCAUGGUAAAAAUAACUUGCUCAUCUAGAAUAGCAUCAAUAUUAUCUUUUUGUGUUGAGAUCAGGUGAAAGAAGUAGAGGAUUCAAUAGGAUCAUCAAGAGGGGAGUUAGGUGACAUCUCAAAGAGGUCGUUUAGAAUAGAAUGUGGUUUUUGAUAUGCAAUUAAAUCAUCAAUAUUAAAUGUAGAGCUAAUGCCAAAAUCAAGCGGUAAAUCAAGAACAUAAGCAUUUGAACCCACCCGUUAUAGCAUUUUGAAUGGCCCCGCAUUACGUGCAUGCAAUUUUCGAUUAAUUUCGUAAGGAAACCAUUCAUAUCUAAUAUAUAUCAUACAAUAGUUUCUCACUUUAAAUUCAUUAUAUGAUCUAUGUAAAUCAGUUCAAAAUUUAUAUUGUGCAUUACUUGCUUUAAUAUGCUUAAUGAUCUCAACAUGCAAAUACCUCUUAAAGCAAAAUAUUACCAAAGCUUUUCCGUUAAAGCAAACCCCGAAUAUGAAUUGAUAUCACAAGCCACCCUUAGACGAAUAAAACAGUCUAGUUUUUAGCCACACUAACAUUGUUUUCCCAAAAAGUUGCAAAAGGCAUGUUUGAUUUGUUUCAAAUCAGGUUUUGCAAAAAAAUAAUAAUUAAGUCAUCAACAAAUAAGGAUGAUAACUUCACCCGACCAGUUUGGAAUCCAAUGUCAUUUAAGUUGAUUAGAUUGUAUUUUUGUCCAUUUGAAAAACAAAUAAAAUUCAAUUCAAUUUAACUAAAGAUGGAUGUGGAGGUCAAUAAAUGGUUGACUUGACCCAUCACUUGACUCAACUUCUACGUGGUUUUUUUAACCCUUUUAUAUUUUAUAGAAUUGUAAUUUAUUUUUCAAUAUAGUAUAUGGAUUUUUAUCUUAUUAUUCACCUAGCAUUAUUAUGGUUUUACAUGUAGAUGCAAAGUUUAGAUUCUAUUUUAUUGUUUUAUGAUUUAUGGAUGGAUAUAUAAUUUUUUUAAGCUUUAAUUUAAUUUUUUAAAAUUUUAUUAAAAAUAGAACAACCAGAUCAAAUGAAGUACUAAGUGGGUACUUGCCAAAUGAAGAAAGUCUUUCAUCGAAUCCAAUCCAAUUGUAUAGAAGAUAAAGUCAAGUGCUAGAUUUAAAAAUUUCUAGGUGGAGAUGGGAGAGAAAAAUUCAUCGUCAACUCAAUCUAUUAUCGUCCCUGUAAAUAAAGAAAGGAAGAGAAAUAAUCAAACCCUCUUUACUGAAAUAGACAAAUUCACUUUGUAGUCUCUACCAUUGGAUCAAUCUUUCCAUAUAUGAAACAAAGAUAUAAGAAUAAAGGAUCUCCAUGAUAAAUACCAUGUGAUGGAGCAUAGGAAUUUGAAAUCUUACCUUUUCAGCUCACUUAUAACAAGGUCAUUAAGAUACACUUUAUGAUCAAGGAAGUGAAACUAUCCAAACUCCCUGAUAGCAUCCAGGAUAAAGUCCUAUCUAAAAUAAUCAUAAACCUUUUUUAGGUCUACCUUAAUCAUCAUUAGAUAUUUUUUAAUUUUCUUUUUUGCAUGUAGAGUUAAGAGUCAAUCAGACAAUCAUAGUGGUAUUACUAUGCUUCUUAGAAACAAAUCAGUGGUACCAACUAGCCAAUAUGUGCUCCUCAUUUAGAAAGCAUACCUUGUUUAAAAUUAGUUGAAAGUCAUACCUUGUUUUCUCUAUAAGUGGCAUGUUGAUGAUAACUAUGUCACAUUUAGAAAGUAUUGAAUUUAGAUCCUCCUCAAACUUUGCCCCUGUCUGAUUCUCUAACUCUGUCUCCAUCUUAAGUCUAUUAUGAUACAGUAGAGUGCAAUUGAAAGGCUUCAAACGUUGGAGUAAAAGCAUUCCGAUGCGUUCAGCACUAAAAGUUCCCACUUUCUUUUCUUCAAGAUCAUAAGCCUUAUAGUCAAUUGCUGCCACAUUCCACUCCUCAUUGAUAACUUGAUGAUAUCCAGGUAAGAAAUUUCUUACAAGAGUAAGGAUUCUCAUGAGCUCAUCUUCUACAACUAAGACAACAUUGCUUCCAAUGACCUCUGCAACAGUUAACCCAGCAGCAGCCGCUGCCUUCAAAUCUAUAUGAUCAGAACCAAUUCCAGCAAUGAGAAGCAGUUGCAUGUUUUUUUGCCCUCUGGAUCCUUUCUACCGUAACAUACGCAAGGUAGAAAAGUGUAGUGAUGAGAACCAAUUCCAAUAAGGAGAAGCAUGCAGUUGCAGGUUUUUUAUCCUCUUAAUCCUUUCUGUCGUAACAUAUGCAGGGUGGAAAGGUGUAGUGAUGAGUGUUAAGUAAUAUUUAUCUAGUUUUAUUUAUUAAGGGUAAAAUAGUAUUUUCAGUUUAACCUAUAUAUAAUUCCUUUGUAUUUAGGUUAACUUAAGCACUCAUAAUAAACAUAUUAUUGAGAAUUCUAGCCUCCUUUUAUGUUUGAUCUGAAUUACUUUAACAUGGUAUCAGAGCCUAGUUGAUCGAACCCUUGGCUUGUUAAUUUUAUGGAACUCGCUGCCCUUGUAGAAAUCAUGUUCACCAAUCUCAAAGCCACUGCUCGUAUCAAAAUCGUUAUCAUCAUCCACUUCAUUCCCUGUAGGAUGUUCCAGCACGCUCAAUGCAUUCCUUUGAAGCUUAACCUCAGAUCCAUUUUUCAAAACAUCAGACAUGGGUUGUUUGACCUAUUAAAAGAUGGAGGAUGAAGAUCAGGUUUUAUGCUUGCGGCUGAAGAAUUAAUAUCUGAAACUUUAUUUUAGAUUCUUCAGCUUCUGCAAUUUGGUAUUUUUGUUCUGUCUCUGCAAUUGUUUUGGUAUUUCGUCUUCUCUUUGGUUUCUGCAAUUUGGUAUCAGCUUCUGCAAUUUGGUAUUUCUGUUCUGUCUCUGCAAUUGUUUUGGUAUUUUGUCUUCUCUUCGGUUUAUGCAAUUUGGUACUUCUGUUCUGUCUCUGCAAUUGUUUUCGGUAUUUCGUCUUCUCUUCGGUUUCUGCAAUUUGGUAUUUGAGUUAAGUUUCUGCAAAAAAUAAAAUAAAAUUGGAGUGAUAUUUUGUCUUCUGCUUCUGCAAAAUCUGGUAUUUCGACUUUCCUUCAACUUCUGCAAUUUGGUAUUUCUGUUCUAUCUCUGCAAUUGUUUUGGUAUUUCUUCUUCUCUUCAGUUUCUGCAAUUUGGUAUUUGUGUUCAGUUUCUGCAAAAACAUAAAAAUAAAAAAUUUGGAGUGAUAUUUUGUCUUCCGCUUCUGCAAAAUCUGGUAUUUCGACUUUCCUUCAGCUUCUGUCAUGGCAUUUACUACCAAAGAGAUUGUUUGGUUAAGUUGGUUACUUGCUGAUAUGAGAGUUUUCUUUUCUCAUCCUACUCCUAUGAAUUGUGACAACCAGAGUUCUAUUCAGAUUGCUCACAACUCGGUUUUUAUGAGCGAACUAAGCACAUUGAGAUCGAUUGUCAUUUUACUCGUCAUCAUCUCAAGCAUGGCACCAUUACUUUGCCUUUUGUUCAUUCUUCCUUGCAGAUUGCAGAUUUCUUUACCAAGACGCAUUCCAUAUCUCGUUUUUGUUUUCUAGUAAGCAAACUCUCGAUGCUUGUAGAUGUCGCAUCGUGAGUUUGAGGGGAGAUGUUAAGUAAUAUUUAUCUAGUUUUAUUUAUUAAGGGUAAAAUAGUAUUUUCAGUUUAACCUAUAUAUAAUUCCUUUGUAUUUAGGUUAACUUAAACACUCAUAAUAAACAUAUUAUUGAGAAUUCUGGCCUCCUUUUAUGUUUGAUCUGAAUUACUUUAACAAUGAGGACAUGGAGAUCAUGAAUAUGCUUGUCAAGUUCUGUGACAAUUACACAGUCGAAGAGCAAAAAAUCAACAAACUAGCCAUCCUAAUAUUCUUGGAAAUAAAAGACACGAACUAAACAUCUUGACAUCAUUUAAUGCCAUCACUACAUUAGGCUCUAAUGUUUAACUGGGAUUAGUGGAGGAUUGGUACGUGAGUUGAUGACUCCGCCUUCCAUAAGCCAAAUACUUGUUUUCAUUGAAAAGAGGGAAACACUUAAUAUCUUCACUUUGACUCCUCAAAUUCCUUGUUGAAAUAACACUAACAUCAUUGUCACCAUCAUCAUCAUUCAGAAGUUUUGGCUCAUCACUAGGCAUCUUCAUGUAAGCAAUAUAUAUAUAAAGGGAGGGAGGGAGGGAAAGGGACGAGGGACAAGAGACAAGGGACAAGGGGGUCCAUUGGUCUAGUCCAUCACUGCUCUCCACAACUUGAUUUUUCACAGUGGAUUGUUUGAUAAUAAACUCAAUUCCAACACAACAACUCUUUUUGUAUGGAAGCAGUGAAUAAGGAAAAAAGCAAUACUCGAGAGUGAAAAUUUAUAACGUGAAAAUUGAUUAGAAAAUAGAAUUGCUUUGCUUACAUGGAGAUGCCUAGUUGAUGAGCCGAAACUCCUGAAUGGCAAUGAUGGUGACAACGACGAAAAGGUGUGGAUUGCAUAGGUAUCAUCACGAUUCAUAGCCAUUGUUAGUUUUAUUUCAACUGAGAGUUUAAGGUGUGAAAGUGAAGACAUAUAUAUAUAUAUAUAUAGGGAGGGAGGGAGGGAGGGAAGAGAAAGGGAGGGAGAGGGACAAGGGGGUUCGUUGGUCUGGUCCAUCACUACUCUCCAAAGCUUAAUUUUUCACAGUGGUUUGUUUGAUAAUAAACUCAAUUCCAACACAACAACUCUAUUUGUAUGGAAGUAGUGAAUAAGGAAAAAAGUAGUAAUCAAUAGUGAAAAUUUAUAACAUGAAAAGUGAUUAGAAAAUAGAAUUGCUUUGUUUACAUGUAAAUGCCUAGUUGAUGAGCCGAAACUCCUAAAUGACGAUGAUGGUGACAACGAUGAAAAGGCGCGGAGUGCAGAGGUAGCAACACACUUCAUAACCAUUGUUAGUGCUAUUUCAACUUAGAGUUUCAGGUGUCAAAGUGAAGAUAUAUAUAUAUAUAUAUAUAUAUAUAUAUAUAUAUAUAUAGAGAGAGAGAGAGAGAGAGAGAGGGAGGGAGGGACAAGGGGUCUGUUGGAUCACUGCUCUUUAAAACUUAAUUUUUCACAUUGGUUUGUUUGAUAAUAAACUCAAUUCCAACGCAACAAUUCUAUUUAUAUUUGUAUUUAUAAAUUCCAUGUAUGUAUUAUUGAUAGCAUGGAAAAGUUUAUCUUCUCUUUUUGUCACUUUCCUUUUGACUUCUUCGAGAGUGUUGGCUUUUUUUUUUAUAUAUAUGCAAUUGCACUUCAAAUAAUUUUCCCUUUGCAACAUUGAUUUUUACUUGGUUUUUUGCCUUCUUUCAAAAAAUAACAAACUUAAUAUUUUUUUAUAUUUUAAAAAAACUUUGAAAAUACAUUAAUUAACUACUAAAAAUGUGUAUAAAGAACAAAUCGCAUAGAAAAAUACUAGAUUUGUUUUUCGAGUGCUACGCUGCAAGUCAAGUAAAAAAUUCUCUAACGUAAAAAAAUAUAUCUAAGCGAUGAUAACUUGAGUCAACCUGGGUUAAGUUGACGAACAUGUGGGAUAUGAAAUCAGGAUACCUUGUAGAAUGGCAAGUGAAAAAACAACAAAACUCAAGGCCCAAUAACCUAAUUUUAAAUGAUGAAAUUUAAAAAAAAAAUCAAUUUUAAAAAAAACAACGAAGAAAAAAACUGUGUCAACAUGAAUUAACUCUACUAGCCUGCCACCUGUGAAAUGAGACCUAGAUUAAAAAUUAUUUAAAAAAAAUGACCUAGAAAAAAGGAUCGAAGUUAAAUAAAUAUAAAAACAUUGAAAAAAAACAUAAGUCAUCCUAGGUUAACUUAACUAACCCGUGGCCUGGGAUAACCUCAUUGAAAGGAAAAAUAUAAAAAAUAAGAAAGUUCAAGACCCAAUAAUCUAAUGUCAAAGGAUAAAAUUGAAAAAAUAAAUAAAAACAACCCAGUUAACUUGACUAAUGACAUGAUCAAAAAGUUGAUGUCUUAUCCCAAGUGCAGGAGUGUCGAAGUAAUAAAUAACCCAGUAAGACCGAGGUCGAACCACAGGGAGGUGAACUAUAUAAAUUACAAAUAAUAUAUAUAUUUAAUAAAACAAAGAGUUUAUGAGAAUUUUAUGGUAUAUUGAUGUAAGGAUUAAACAAGGAUAAAACAAUUGUCAAGGUUAGAGGAUCCACUAAUGGUAUUUCAAAUAAGUAUAAUAUAAACUCUUUUUAUUAUUCAACUAGAAACCAUACACAAAGGAGGUUACAAUCGGAUUAUAAUUUAUUAACAUGAUUAUAUUAAUUAUCUUAUUUGAGUAAUGUCAAUACUUGUAAAUGUUGUCAGGUAUGCAUGGUGAUAACUUAUGUUAACAACAAAUCAAGUUCCUUUCAUAGCACAUGUGUCGGUUAUAUCAUACAGUUGGGCUAUGAAAGUGUCAAGUAUUUGUUGUACCAAGGGUUGUUCAACACAAAUCUAGAUUAACCACAUAACAAGCAAGGUAUUAAGAGUAAGUAAGAUAAUAAAUACAAAACAUGUUAGUAUCAAACAUUAAAGUCCAUGUUGAGUUUAUACUAUACUUAUUCUUAUACCAUUAGUGUAACCUUUUCACCUUAACAUAAUAAACUUAGCUGAACAUUAUGAAUAAGAGAAACAUAGAUAAACAAGAUAAGAACAUAAUUAUAUAAGUAUAGUAAAGGAAAUGAAAAGCAUAAACAAGAGAUUAAGAAAAAUAUAAUAUGGAAUAAAACUUGAACAUUACAAAAUAUAAAGAAAAAGAGUAAGAGCAAGAGCAAGAUCUUGAUCUGAACAACCAAGAUGCCUAAAUUCAUGGCAAAUGCCUCAUUUUAUAGGCCAAAAUUCAGAAUUAUUGAUUUGAUGAUUAAUUGUUGUGUGGGUGGCUACCUCUUGACUUGGUAACAAUCCUUAUCUUCUUGUCUGAGAAAACGUCAUUGCUAACAUCAGAAUUUGAAUAGAUAGUCCUCAUGAAAGUUUUGGGCAAUUGUCUCAGCUUUCCAAAAAAACAAGAAUGAGGUCAUUUGGACUUCUAGAACUCGAGAUAUGGGCUGAACACUAAACAGUGUCUGGUCUGCAGAACAGAUUCUGACUUCUUUGUUGUUGCUACAAUUUGAACUUGAAAACGGUCAUUUUGAAUCUUAAACUCUCAUGAAAGUUUUAGGCCUAUGUCUUAGCUUUCUAUCCAUAUAAACCAGACCUAAAUUCAAGUUCUACAACUCCAGUUAUGAUUCAAUAACCGAAUGGUGUUUCAAUUUGAAUUCAACUAGCAUCUAUUUUCUAAGCUUAGCCCUCUCUUUAUCUUCUCAAUUUCAGUAGUUAAACUCAUCAAUCAAUCCUUUGAUUUAUGUGAUAGGCCUGCAUUUAAAAUGAACAUUUAUCAUAAAUUAAAUGUAUCUUAUAUUAUCAGACUUGUUAUUAUAAAACAUGCUCUAGUUAAGGAGUUAUUGAUACUUCAAGUGCAAAAUAAUGAUAUAAAACCUUGAUAAAAAUACACUUUUAAGUACUAAUCAACUAACUCGAGACCUAGGAUAACCCAAUAAAUUAAGGAAAUGAUAAAAAAAAAAAGCAAUUAAAAGAACGAAAACCAAAAUUGAAUAUAAAUAAAUAAAAUCAAAUGUUAAGGGACAAAAUUGAAAAAACAAACAAAUUAAGAAAAUAAUAAAAAAAAACAAUUAAAAGAAUGAGGACCAAAAUCAGAUAAAAAAAUAAGUGAAGUAAAAUGUUGAGGGAUAAAUUUGAAAAAAAAAAAUCAAGAAAAUGAUUAAAAAAGCAGUAUUUAAAAGAAUGAGUAUUGUAUUUAAUAUAAAAAUUAAAUAAAACGAUAAAAUUAAAUAAAAUGAUAUGAAAAGGGAUGAAACUAGAAAAACAAAAGUAUCCAAAACAAAUAUAGACCAAUCAAAAAAGAAGGACCACAAUUAUAAAAAAAAAAUAGAAGGACAUCUCUGAAUUUUUACUUACAUAACAUGUAUUCCAAGGAGAAAAGAGAAAAAAAAUUGGGGGAAAUCCCACCAGUAUCGAACCACCAUGAAUUGCACUUCUUGCACCUUCACAUCAAUUGUUCUGUCACUGGAUGGUUUGGAUGACAUGGUACUUGGUCCCUUUUUACUAUUGUAAAACGUUGCAAGUGCUGCCCCAAGGACGAUGACAAUGUUCAGUUGUUGGUACAUGUUAUGCUAUGCACACGUAAGUUACUUUUUAUUUUUUAUUAUUACUUUUUUAUUAAAAGACUGAUUUACCCUUAAUUCAAAUAGAUUAUAACAAAAAUAACAUUAAAAAUACCAUAAUACCCCUUGACCACUUUUUUAGUUUUUUUACUUAAGGAAAAUAAAGAAAAUUUACUAUUUUUAAAUUUAUGUUUUUGUUGACUUUUUAAGGGGAUUUAUGUCAUUUAAUUGUGUAAAAAAAGUUGAUAGACCAUUAUACCCCCAAUCAGUUUUAUAAUACCAAAUGAAUUGCCUGGAAAGAUCAUUUUACCCAACAAAAAGGCCAUUUGAUUUUUGUAAUGGAAGGCAAAGACAUCAUUAGCCCUAUAAUAAAAGAUUGAUGGUGUUUAGUUUUUUUUUUAAAAAAUUUAUAAACAAAUAUUUUAUACUAUAGAUAAUUGCUUAAGUUUUAAAAUAUAUCAUAGAACUUAUAUAAACAAGUUUUAUAAUUUUUUCCUUCAUUAUAUUCUAUUAUUUAUAUUCCAAUGAUUAAUUUAUAAGAAAUAAAUUUAAGCUUGGCUGGCUGGCUUAGAAGUAUCAAGAAACUUUAACGAGCUCAACUUACUAGUGAAAUUUGAUCAUACCAAAACUCGGCUUAGGCCCUACAAAAAAAAAAUUGAUUACUAGUGAAAUCUCUUGCUAACAUAUUUUAUUAAGUUUUCAAUUGUGAUUAUUUAUUAAUAUUUUAAGUACUUAAAAGCUACUUUAGAGAUUGGUGGUAAGUGACUCACUACGAGCUAGACUUUUUUUUUUCAGCACAAAAAAAAUAUUUAAAUGACGACAAUAUUUCUAAAGAAACAAAAGAAAUAUGAGUCAAGUUAAUGACCUUUUUACCUUAAAAAGGUACUAUAACUCUAUACUAUAGUGAUUGUUCACUAGAAUAGUAUAAUAAUAUUUUUACUUCUCCACCUAAAAAACUUAAUAUUAGCUUUCAAACAUAUUAAAAUCUUUUAAAAUUUAAUGGAGAAUAAUGAAUUUUUUAUCAUUUAGCACAGUAAAACAACCAAAAUACCAUUGUAAGUAAAAAAAAUUAAACUUGGCAUAAAGGAGAAAUUUUAUUUUUUUUCAUAAUGAUUUUUAGUUAUUAUAAUAUCAGCAAUAAAAUAAAAAAUAUAAAAAAUAAUAAACAAUUAAAAUACACAGUGUGUCAAUGAAAAUACUAUUAAUAGAAAAACAAUUUAAACCUAGAAUUAAAGGGCUUCUUGGUCUUGGCCCUUUUACAGAAGUUUUAUUUGUUUUCAAUUGCAUCCUUCAAUCUUAAUUUGUCAAAUAUUAUAUUCUCCAAUUUGGUUCUCAAUCUUUGAGUUUCAAAUGUUUUUACCUUGAACCUUUUGUAUAAGUUUUAUUGGUUUUUAAUUUUAUCAUUCAAUUCAAAUUAAUGGUAUUAUGUUUUCCAAUAUGGUCCUUAUUGUUUUGAUUUCUAAUUUUUCUUCUUGAUUUUUUGUAAAAUUUAUUAUUUUUUUCAAUUUCACCAUUCAAUCAGAACAUUCUUUUGAUUUUUUAAAUCAAUUUUUAUUCUUUGUUUUUGGAUUUUUUUGUCCUUUCAUUAAAUUAAUUUUUAUUUUCAAUCUCACUCUUCAAUCAAAUAUAAAAUUUAUUUUAUAUUUUAAUUUUGAUCCUUAUUCUUUUUAAUUUUAAUUUUUUUUAAUCCUUUUGUAUAAAAAAAUGGUUUAUAUAAAUAAGUACAUAGGAUAAUUUUAAUAAAUGAUUAAGUAAUCUAUUAAACAUGACAUGUAAAUAAAUAAGUAAAGAAUAUUGCAAGCAUCAAGUUCUAAAAGUCCAUCUUUGAAAAAAAGAAAAAACUCAGUUCUAUCCUUAAAGUUUGUUUAAAUCUCUAAUAGAACUAUAUGCCCAAUAUUUAUGUUAAAAAAAUAAAAAACAUUUUGACAAACAAUACAAGUAGAAUAGGUAAAAUCAAACCGAAAGUACCAUAUUUUCAUUUUUGUUGUGUAUUGCGGAAAAAAAAGAAGAAGAAAAAGAACAUACACACGGGGCUUGUAGCUCAGUGGUCUUGGCAGGCUUUGCCCUGCCUGAGUGUCCUGGUUCGAGCUCUCGUGUGUACCCAGCACUUGAGGGUCUAGCUGCUGUGGUCCAUCGUGGACUUGUUCCGCCCUCCCUCCCGGGUUGGACCCUCUAUGUGCACGCCUGUCACCCCCGCGGUGCCUUACCUGCUCCUGGGCUUGCAGGAUGUCCAGUGGGCCGUGGGGAAUAAUCGUGGUGCGCGUAAGCUGGCCCGGACACCCCACGUGAAUCAAAAAAAAAAAAAAAAAAGAACAUGGUCGGUCCGUCUACAAGGAGAAGUCAACUUUCAUUUGAUUUUCGACUUUAUAAACACGGCUAGCCCACCGAAUUUUAUUAGGGGAAAAGCCCGUUCCCAAGUUGCCAUUGCCAUUAGAUUCUGACUGAUGGCUCACCUGUUUAAUAAUUUUUUAGUGGCUGACGGACCCAUCCUCGAAGCAGCGGAUUAUGCAAAGAGUCAAAUAACUGGGUGCUCACUAUAUUUCUGAGUGCCCCUCACGUCAACUGUCUGUGUGCCCCUCAUAUACGUAUAAAUGAGCACAAGACCAACUUCUUAUUCAUCAACAUCAAAUUAGUUCUCUCUAAAGCUUCCCUUUAAUUUACGGUUUUAAACCUUCUCUAGUUCUAGUUUGUGAGUAAAUUGCGAGAGACCAAAAAUGAGUGUGGAGAUUUUGGAUGGUGCCACCAUUGUCAACUUUCUAGAGGACGAGGAAGCAUUCAACGCGCAAAUAUGUGACCGCUUCGCCCACCUUGAUUCAGACCAUGAUGGCCGGCUUUCCUACGGGGAAAUGUUGAAGGAGCUGCAGUGUUUGAGGUUAUUGGAAACCCACUUCGGCGUGGAUGUGGAAACAGACCCGGAUGAGCUUGCUCUCGUCUAUGAUUCUCUUUUUGUCCAAUUUGAUCAUGACUUGAAUGGGACAGUGGACUUGGAAGAGUUCAAGUCAGAGACCAAGCAAAUGAUGCUAGCCAUGGCCAGUGGUAUGGGUUUCUUGCCUGUUCAGAUGGUCCUGGAAGAAGACAGUUUCCUGAAGAAGGCUGUGGAGUGGGAAUCUGCUAAACUCGUUGCCUGAUUAAUUUCACAUCCAUUACCCUAUACAUGACUCAUUAAUUGUCUUUGUUAUUUCUUUCUUCUCCGAAUGCAUUCCAAGUUUAGCUGAAUGUAGCAAAGAAAAUAAAUGAAAUGCUCUGUUAUUGGUGAAGGUGCAAUUUGGUAUCUUAAAACUUGGUUCUCUCCUCAUGCAAUUUGGUCAUGACCAUCCAGCCAUAGUUAAUAUAACAAAAGGGAAUGGAAUUGGUAGAACAGAGUUGAAUCAAAAUGGGAAAAGAACUUGCGUGUGUCACGUCCAGGGGAACAGAUAAAAAUUAAAGAAAUACUGUCCUAAUAUAAAGUCCAGUUAAAUAAAAACUUGCAGGCGAAUCUGCCGUGCAAUUUAACUAGAUUUUGCGCUCUAAACACCUAAUUCCAUCAUGAUUUGUUUAGCAUGCGUAUGAAACAAACUUCCCACAUUGGAUCACAAAAACAAUGACAUCUCAGGAGAUGGAAUGAAAGAGAGAAUGCUUUCACCAAACAGCUCAAACAGGGAUACCAGAAGAUGCUCAUUAUUCAAGUCUUCAUUCAAACCUUGUUGAGAAUGUGAUGCGGAACAAUAAAUCAAAAAUAAAAAUAAAAAAUUAAAGUAGUAAAGAAUGAAGCUUUACAGAAAUAAGUUAAGAAUUAAAAGUAAAGCAAGGGAAAAGCCAGGGGAAAAAAAAAGAAUUGAAGAAGAAAAGUCUAUCAUUAUUAUUUAAUCAUAAAAAACUCUCCCAAAAAGUGAAAGAGAAACAUAUAAAUAGCAUAACCUUACAAUAUCCACUUAUUGGGUUCAACUCAUCAAUUAAAAUUUUCUAACAUAAAUAAGUCAAAUUAAUAAAAUAAAACAAUGAAAUAGGCCCAAAUGAGCUCAGUCUCCCAACCAAAAAGUGACAGGCUAGGUCAUUUUAUGUCGUCUUUGUCUAUAUACUCGUGUAAUUUGUGGUGUAAGUCUAAAGUCCCCACCAACUCUCCUAAUGUAGCUCUGGGUGACCUUGAUAACACUCCCAAAGUUCUGGAUCAAUCUGCUACAAAGUAUCUAUGGUGAUCUAAGUACAAUUUGAAUCAGGUCGGCCAACCCAAGAGUUAGAAACAGUUGAACCUCACUAUUCCAAGUAAAAAAAAACUUGUUCAUCCAAAAUGACAUCAAUAUUAUCCUUUUGUGUUCAGAUCAAGGUCAAAGGGGUAGAGGUUUCAAUAGGAUCAUCAAGAGGAGAGUUAGGUGGCAUCUCAAAUGGAUCAUUUGGAAUAGGAUGUUGUUUCUGGUAUGCAACUAAAUCCGCAGUGCUAAAUGUAAAGUUAAUGCCAAAAUCAAGUGGUAAAUCAAGAACAUAAACAUUUGGACCAACUCCUUGUAGCACUUUGAAUGGCCCUGCACUACGUGCAUGCAAUUUUCGAUUAGUUCCUGAAGGAAACUACUUGUGUCUAUUCCAUAUAAUAACUUAGUCUCCCACAUUAAAUUUAUUAUAUCAUCUAUGUAAAUAAGCUCAGAGUUUAUAUUGUGCAUUACUUGCUUGAAUUUGCUUAGUGAUCUAAAUAUGCAAAUUCUAAAUUUUACGUGUAAAAAACUUUGUUAACUCAAACACCUUAGUAUGAAGAGAUAUGGGAAGAAGGUUUAAAGGUUUCCUAGGCUUGUAACCAUGUACAACUUCAAAGGGACUCAUGCAAAUUGACCUAUUGACAGAACUCUUAUAUGCAAACUAGGUCAUAGGAAGAACCAAAUCCCAAUUCCUAUUAUGAUAACUCACUAGACACCUCAGAAAGUUGCCUAAUCUGGGUGGUAGGCACUAGAAAACUUCAACUGAGUUCCCACUAUAUGGCGAAGGGUUUUCUAGAAAUAACUCAUAAAUCUAACAUCCUUAUCUAAGACUAUGGUUUGGGGGAAAUCGUACAACUUGACAAUCUCGUUAAAAUAGAGUUCCGCAACUCUAGAAGCAUUUGUGAUCUUAGUACAAAAGAUAAAAUAGGUCAUCUUAGAGAAACAGUCGAAAACCAUAAAAAAGAAUCAUGCUUCUUUGCAGUACGUAGAAGCCCAAUCACAAAAUUCAUACUUACAUUUUGCCAAGGGCAAGUAGGAAAAGGUAACGGGGUGUAAAUACCAAUAUUUUGUUUUUUAUGCUUUGCUAGUUGACAUGUUCAACAUUGACCUCCCAACUUAGCUACAUCUCUUUCAAACUAGACAAAAAAAAUUGAUGUUCCCCCUCUUAAAUGGGUUUAUUUCUUCUAAAGUGUUCUGAAAGACCUCCAAUAUGAAUCUCCCAUACAAACUCCAGCAAGUUUAAAAUUAAAAUCCUACUACAACUUAGAAAAAACAUAGGCGGCUAUCUUUCCUUUAGUUUCAAGGAUAUCUUGGUCACUUUUACUUUUUCAUUACUUCAUAAUCUUCAGAGUAUGAUACCUUAUAGCUUCACGGUUACAAGUCAUUUCCUCAUUACUUUGGGUCUUUAAUGGGUUGUAUGGAAGACUAUAAAUAAGCCUUGAAUCAAUUCUGUAAUAUUUUCUUUCCUUCUCUUCUUCUCAUGGUAAAACAAAGAUUUAAUAUUAUGGGUUUUAUUUUAUUUUGUUUAUGCUUAAUUAAUAUAUUUUUUUCAGCUAGGAUCUAAGGCUUGUUUGGAUCAGGGUUUGGGCUUACUAGUAAAGGUUUUGAGUAAGUUUUUAUAUGUGGGUUAGUUUAGCCCACAAGGGUGGAUCCAUUUGGGUUAAUUUCUUAGAACAAUUUAAACACAUAUAAGCCUAAAUUUCACCAGCGAUUGAUAAAUAAUACUUGUGAAUUUUUUAAUUUUAACAUGUGAGAGAAAUUCUUGUAUUCUAUGGUUCUUAAACGAACUGAAUAUGACUUCUCAAAGUUUAAUUGGCUUCAUGACGUCAUUCGACAUCAUUCCAAUAAUGUUGGUGUCUCAGGAUAGGUUUUUAUUGUGUCACACUUCUAUUAGAUCAAUUUUGGCUUUUUAGGAUCAAAUUUUAAUCUUGAAUGUGGGUUGUGUGACCAUGUAUUCACGAGGUUCACAUCAGUGUUCAAGAGAUGCUAAUAAAUAUCUUUGAGUGGUAAAGGUAUGUCAAUAUUUGAUAAGGGCACUUGAGCAUCCAAUGACAUAGUGAGAUCCAAUUGGACAAGACUCCCAAUCUGAGAGCCAUUUCCCAAUUCAUAUUCUAUCAUACUUUAGAGUUCAUAUAUGGGGUUUCCUCGAAGGUGAUCCAUCCUACCUCAAUAAGCUAGAGGAGCUUGUCUUUAAAAGCAUAACAACUUUCAAUGUUAUGACCACUAGUGCCAUCAUGAUACUCGUAUGUCUAGUUAGUAUUAUACCAUUUUAGAUAUGGGGGUUGAAAUGGUUUCUAGAUAAUCAAAAUAAUUUGUCCAAUAUUGACCAAUCUUUCAAAUAUCUCUUUAAAAGAUAAAGGAAAGAGCGAUAUAGUUUUCUUUAACUAUUGUGACUUUUCAUAUAUUUUCUUAUUAGAUGGAACCUGAUUAGUCAUUUGAGGAGAAUGAUUAGGAUGCUAAGAUAUAGAAUGAUCUUGAUUCAUACUUCUCAUAUAGGAGUUAUCUUUUUAUUUGUCAAACGACAUAGCAUUAAACCUCUCUUCUUUAUUCCAGAUCCUUCUCAAUUUCAAUCCUUGCUCCACACUCUCUACUGUCGUUUUUAUCUCUAUUAAAUAAGCUCAUGAAUUACAAGUUAUGUAAUCACAAUAAGGAGUCUUUGAAGUAUUGAUGAAGAUGGAAUUGAGCUCAUUUUAUAGUAGUGGAGCGUAAACUUGGGUUGUCAUUUGUCGCAGCCUCAUCGCAUAUUCCUUGACUGACUCAUCAUUUCUCAUCUCAAUUCUUUGAAGGUCUAACCUGGUUAGAGCCAUCUUUAAGUUGAAUCCAAAUUGUUGCAGAAAUGCAUCAACCAAGUAUUCUUAUUUCUUCUUUUCAGAGCCAUUUAAAUCCAAGUUGGGUUUUAAAAUUAUGAUAAUAAUCAUUUUUAUCCUUACAUGUCUUAGUUGUAUAAUUUUAAAAUUAAGAGUUUUUUACAAGAAUAUUUUAGAGAAAAAAAAUAACAAAUAUUUUUUCUAGAGACAUGUCCUCUCUAUACCUUCUAUUUUGGAAGUAUAGACAUUCACUCCAAAAUUAUCCGAGGGACAUAUUUAUUUUUAUAUCUUUGUCUCUUCAACCAAAUAUAUUUAUGUCUUCAUUGUCUUCAUCUCUUUUGUUUCAGGACAGUAACCAAACACUAUUUAAUAUACACUAUUUAAACUAUUUUUAGUGAUUUGGAUAUUAGUUAUCUUUUUUGAAUAAAAUUUUAAGAGUCAAGUUUCUCUAUACAACUUUACUAUUUUAUUGUUUAAAGGGUUUUUAAGAAGUAAUAAACCCUAAUACUUUUGGUAAGCUGAAUCAUUUGUAUAAAGAAAGUAUCAUUGUUAACUUGAAUAUUUCAAAAGCUUAAACACCUAAAAAAUGUUAGACUGACAAAUAGACUCCUAAGUAACUAAAUGCUUUUCCUAUGGCCCUUUGAAUUACCCUAUCAUAAUAGAAAGUGAUUCAUCAUGCUAAAGAUAAUCGAGCCGUCUGCCAACCUAACACUACAUUCUGAACUUUUUCCACCGCUCUACUAUAUGUAUUUGUUAACAAGCAUAUGUAACAUAGGAACUCUAAAAUAUUACCCAAUAUUUUUUUGUUAAAGCAAACACUGAAAUGAAUUGAUAUCAAGAGCCACCCUUAAACGAAUAAAACAGUCUGGUUUUUAGCCACACUAACAUUUUUUUACCAAAAAGUUACAAAAGUCCUGUAUGAUAACUUUGAUUUGCUUCAAAUCAAGUUUUGCAAAAAAGAAUUAAGUCACCAACAAAUAUGGAUGACAACUUCACCUGACUCGUUUGCAAUCUAAUGUCAUUCAAUUCAAUUGGAUCAUAUUUUUGUCUAAUUUAUUUGAAAAACAAAUAAAAUUCAAUUCAAUUUGACUAAAGAUGGAUGCGUAGAUUAAUAAAUGGUUCACUUGACCCAUCACUUGACUCAACUUCUACAUGGUUUUUUAACCCUUUUAUAUUUUGUAAAGUUGUAAUUUAUAUUUCAAUAUAGUAUAUGGAUUUUUAUCUUAUUAAGGAUUGUUAUGGUUUUACAUAUAGAUAUAAAGUUUAGACUCUAUUUUAUUGUUUUAUGAUUUAUAGAUGGAUAUUUUUUUUUAAGCUUCAAUUUUAUUUUUUAAAUUUUGAUUAAAAAUAGAACAAUUGGAUCAAAUGAGAUACUUGUCGAAUGAAGAAAGUUCUUCAUCCACUCCAAUCUAAUCCAAUCGUAUAGAAGAUGAAGUCAAGUGCUGGAUUUAGAUAUCUCUGGUUAGAGACAAGAGAGCAAAAUUCAGUUGCAACCCAAUCUAUUAUUGUUUCUGUAAAUAACGAAAAGAUGAGAAAUAAUCGAACUUUUUUACUGAAAUAAACAAAUUCACUCUCUAGUCUCAACCGUAUUGGAUCAAUUUUUCUAUACAUGAAACAAAGGUAUAAGAAUAGAGGAUCUUCUUGUUGAAUACUUUGUGAUGAAGUAUAGGAAUUUGAAAUCUUAGCUUUCCAGCUCACUUAUAACAAAGUCAUUGUGAUACGCUUCAUGAUUAACGAAGUGAAACUAUCUAAAAUACCAUAUCCCUAAUAGCAUUUAGGAUCAAGUCCUACCUCAAACAAUCAUAAACCUUUUUUAGGUCUAUCUUAAUUAUCAUCAAAUAUUUUCUAAUUUUCUUUUAUACAUCUAGAGUUAAGAGCCAAUCAUAUAAUCAUAGUGGUAUUAUUGUGCUUCUUUGAAACAACACAUUGGUACUGACUAGCCAAUAUGUGCCAGUCAAGAGUAUUUGUUAUGAAACUCUGUGUAAACUUCUUAAUUGGUUAGCAUUCUUACUUCAAUGUAAUUAAUUUUUUACGUUCUGAAACUCUCAUAUGAAGCACAUCACGCAUUGCUUUCUUUAUACUUAACUUUUCUUAUAUGCAUGUCUUAUGUGAUAAGGAUAAGGAAAAUCUUCAAGUUUUCUAGUUUGUCGUGUUGGUAACAGACUAUUAACAUAUUUUACAAAAAUAAUGAUAAAGUUAUCUUCAGAUAACUUUUUCUACUCUAUCUGAAUUUAUCUUUUAAAUAACCUAAACUAAUCAGAUAAUUAGAGAGAAGAUAAUGCUAAUUAAUCUUGGUAAACUUCUAUCUUAGCCAAAUUAUCCUUUUACCAACCAUAAAAAGAUCACUAAUCUAAACUAAUAAAAUGACAAUUAUUACAAAGUUGAUCCUGCUAUUCUCUUAGGUCAUUAUCAGAAGGGGGAAAGUAAAGGUCUAAAGGCAAAAGGUCCAAACUUCUAUAUUUAAAAUUAGUUGAAAAUCACACCUUUUUUCUUUAUAAGUGGCAUGUUGAUGACAACUAUGUCACAUUUAGAAAGCAUUAAAUCUAGAUCCUCCUCAAACUUUUUACCUGUUAUAUUCUCCAACUCUUUCUCCAUCUUAAGUUUAUUAUGAUACAGUAGAGUGCAACUGAAAAGCUUCAAACGUUGGAGUAAAAGCCUUCUGAUGCGUCUAGCACCAAUAGUUCCCACCAUCUUACCUUCAAGAUUGUAAGCCCUGUAUGCAAUAGCUGCCACAUUCCACUCUUAUUGAUUGAUAACUUGAUGCUAUCUAAGUAAGAAAUUUUAUACAAGAACAAGGAUUCUCAUGAGCUCAUUUUUUGCAACUGAGACAACAUUGCUUCCUGUGACCUUUAUAGCAGUUAACCCAGCAAUAGCUACUACCUCCAAAUCUAUAUGAUCAGAACCAAUUCUAGUAAUGAGAAGCGCUUUUUUGCCCUCUUGAUCCUUUAUGCCGUAACAUCUGCGGGGUGGAAAGGUGUAGUGAUGAGGACAUGGAGAUCAAGAAUAUGCUUGUCAAGUUCUAUGACAAUUAUACAGUUGAAGAGCAAAAAAUCAACAAUCUAGCCAUCCUAAUAUUCUUGGAAAUAAAAGGCAUAAAUCUAAGAUCUUGAAAUCAUUUAAUGUCAUCACUACAAUUAGGACAUGGAGAUCAGCAGUUAAUCUUAUUGUUAAAGUAAAGGUCUAAAGGAAAAGGAUCCAAACUUCUAUAUUUAAAAUUAAUUGAAAAUCAUACCUUAUUUUCUUUGUAAGUGACAUGUUGAUGACAACAAUGUCAUAUUAAGAAAGCAUUAAAUCUAGAUCCUCCUUAAAAUUUGCCCAUGUCUGAUUCUCCAGCUCUGGCUCCAUCUUAAGUAUAUCAUGAUACAGUAAAGUGCAAUUAAAAGGCUUCAAACGUUGGAGUAAAAUCCUUUUGAUGCGUUAGCACCAACAGUUCCUACUAUCUUUCCUUUAAGAUUGUAAGCCUUGUAUGCAAUAACUGCCACAUUUCACUCCUUAUUGAUAACUUGAUGAUAUCCAGGUAAGAAAUUUCAUACAAGAACAAGGAUUCUCAUAAGCUCAUCUUAUGCAAUGGAGACAACAUUAAAAAGAGUGAAGCACUUAAUAACCUAUAUAUGCAGGAAUACAACUUCAACAAAGAACCUUAAUGCUUAAAAACAACACACUUACAAGCUUGUAGCUCCUCAUACUUUCAGCCUCGUGUGAAGAGAUGGACAAUGAUUGUCAAUGGUGAUCAUAUGCUAUAUUUCUAGCCUGUUGUUCAUAAUAAUUCUAUUAAGGAUUAAAUACUUGAUCAUCUUACAUCUUUUUAUGUGGAGGCCUACUUUAGUUUGUGUUAUGCCAGGUGUGUGUAAUGAGACAUAUAAUGAAUGUUGUGCAAAUAAAAUAUACACUCACUACAAUCCAACCAUUCUUUGUCAUCAGUUACAAUGAACUGGUGACCUUGUGAUUCCAGCCAGUCACCAAUGCCCAAAGCUCUUUCCAAGCAACCCACAAAAUUAGUGUUUGAUCAAAUUUUAAAAAUUAAAAAAAAAUUAAAACCUAUAGAGUAACAAUAAAAAUAUUAUUAAAAACAAAAACAUUAAACCUGGAGUUAAGGGGCUUCUUGGUCUUAGCCUUUUUAUAGAAGUUUUAUUUGUUUUUAAUUGCAUCAUUUAAUUUUAAUUUAUCAAAUAUUAUAUUCUCCAAUUUGGUGCUCAAUCUUUGGGUUUCAAAUUUUUUUACCUUGAACCUUUUGUAUAAGUUUUAUUAGUUUUCAAUUUCAUCUUUCAAUUUAAAUUAAUGGUAUUAUGUUUUCCAAUUUGGUCUUAUUAUUUUGAUUUCUAAUUUUUUUCUUAAUUGUUUUUGUAAAAGUUAUUAUUCUUUUUAAUUUCACUCUUCAAUCAAAACAUUCUUUUGAUUUUUUAUGUUAAUUUUUAUCCUCAUUCUUUAGAAUUUUUUUAUCCUUUUACUAAAUUGAUUUUUUUUUUCAAUCUCACCCUUCAAUCAAAUAUAAAUUUAUUUUAUAUUUUAAUUUUGAUCCUCAUUGUUUUAAUUAUUAUUUUUUAAUCUUUUUGUAUAAGAAAAAUGGUUUUCUAUAAAUAAGUACAUAGGAUAAUUUUAAUAAAUGAUUAAGUAAUCCAUUAAACAUGACGUGGUAAUAAAUAAGUAAAGAAUAUUGCAAGCACCAAGUUCUAAAAGUCCAUCUUUGAAGAAAAGAAAAAAAAUGAAAAAAUUCAGUUAGAACCAUAAUUAAGUCUCUAAGACAACUAUAUGCCCAUUAUUUAAUGUUUGACAAACAACACAUGUAGAAUAGACAACUAUAUGCCCGUAUUUUCAGUAUUUUCAUUUUUGUUGUGUAUUGCGGGGAAAAAAAAAAAAAAAAAGAACAUGGUCGGUCCGUCUUACAAGGAGAAGGGAAAGUGACCGCUGUCGGUGCUUUCGACGGGGGUUUUGAAAUUACCAGCACCAUCUUUGGACCUUCGAGAAGUCAACUUUCAUUUGAUUUUCGACUUUAUAAACGCGGCUAGCCCACCGAAUUUUAUUAGGGGAAAAGCCCAUUCCUAAGUUGCCAAUGCCAUUAGAUUCUGACUGAUGGCUCGCCUGUUUAAUAAUUUUUUAGUGGCUGACCGACCGAUCCUCGAAGCAGCGGAUCAUGCAAAGCGUCAAAUAACCAAAUGGAAACUGGGUGCUAACUAUAUUUCUGACUGCUAGUCAACUGUCUGUGUGCCCCUCAUUUACGUAUAAAUGAGCACGAGACCAGCUUCUUAUUCAUCAACAUCAAAUCAGUUAUCUCGAAAGCUUCUCUUUAUUUCACAGAGCACAGAGCCAACUCCUGAUUCAUCAAUAUCAUAUUAGUUCUCUCUAAAGCUUCCCUUUAAUUUACGGUUUUAAACCUUCUCUAGUUCUAGUUUGUGAGUAAAUUAAGAGAGACCAAAAAUGAGUGUGGAGAUUUUGGAUGGUGCCACCAUUGUCAACUUUCUGGAGGACGAGGAAGCAUUCAACGCGCAAAUAUGUGACCGCUUCGCCCACCUUGAUUCAGACCAUGAUGGCCGGCUUUCCUACGGGGAAAUGUUGAAGGAGCUGCAGUGUUUGAGGUUAUUGGAAACCCACUUCGGCGUGGAUGUGGAAACAGACCCGGAUGAGCUUGCUCUCGUCUAUGGUUCUCUUUUUGUCCAAUUUGAUCAUGACUUGAAUGGGACAGUGGAGUUAGAAGAGUUCAAGUCAGAGACCAAGCAAAUGAUGCUAGCCAUGGCCACUGGUAUGGGUUUCUUGCCUGUUCAGAUGGUCCUGGAAGAAGACAGUUUCCUGAAGAAGGCUGUGGAGUGGGAAUCUACUAAACUCGUUGCCUGACUAAUUCCACAUCCAUUACCCUAUACAUGACUCAUUAAUUGUCUUCGUUAUUUCUUUCUUCUCCGAAUGCAUUCCAAGUUUAGCUGAAUGUAGCAAAGAAAAUAAAUGAAAUGCUCUGUUAUUGGUGCAAUUUGGCAUCUUAAAACUCGGUUCUCUCCUAAUGCAAUUUGGUCAUGACCAUCCAGCCAUAGUUAAUAUAACGAAAGGCUGACAGAAACACGAAUAUCUUUCCUCUUUCAAGAGGGCUUCAUCAACUAAUAGAUACAUGGGCAGAAGGAUUGAGCUGGAUGCAUCUCAGUCAUCGUUCAAAAUUUAGCUUCAAGGGAAUGGAAUUGGUAGAACAGAGUUGCAUCAGAAUGGAAAAAGAACUUGCGUGUGUCAGGUCCAGGGGAACAGAUAAAAAUUAAAGAAAUAACUGUCCUCGUAUAAAGUAUAGUUAAAUAAAAAUUUCGAGUCGAAUCUGUUGUGCGUCUGAAAACCUAAUUCCAUCAUGAUUUGUUUAGCAUGCGUAUGAAACAAACUUCCCGCAUUGAAAAGAGGGAAGCAAUUAUUUAAAACGGUAGAGAUUGCGUUUCAAUCAAAACGCAGGAGCCAAGCGUUUGGUAAUAUCAAAAACGCUAAAAAUGACCGGUGGGACCCAUGCCAAUUCAUGUUUUAAACGCGACAUUCGCGAAGCAGCUCUAGGCUGCUUUUUGAAAUUUUGUAUUCGCGUGCACAGUGCAAUUCACUUGCACUGUUCGGGUGAUUUUUUUUUAUUUUUUUUUUAGUGUGUAUAGUUUUUGUAUAUAUUUUUUUUUAAAAAAACUAGUUUUACAUUGUCAUGUAAACAAUAUUUUUUUUUCCUGAAAAACUAGUAUAGAGCGAAUUAAAUUCACUCGCACUGUAAUAUCAAAUUAAUUUUAUUCAUGAUAAUAUUUUAUCUAAUUUUAUUGCAAGCUCAAAAAAUUAUAGAAACUGUAGUUCUUGUCGAAUGAAUUUUGUACGUAAUGGAAUUGUAGAUGGUUUAAUGGCAUAAUAAAAAAUAUUUUAUAUAAAGUAUUAUUUAUUUCAUGAAGUAAUAGUAAUGGUUAAAUCUACAAUAUUUAAAUUAAAAAUCAUCAAUUUUAAUAUGUAUAUUUUAAUUAUUUUAUAAUCUCAAUUUGAAAAGUAUUUUUUUAACCAAACACAUUAAACUACUUUUUCUUCAACCUCAAUUUCAACCACAGUUUUAACCAAACACCUAUUUUUUCAAACCAACCUCAACUAAAAGUACUUUUUAUAAAACAACUUUUUUCAAAUCACAACCACAAAAGCUACCGCAAUACCAAACACACACUUAAUAUCCUAUAUAUGCAAAAACGCAACUUGAACGAAGAACCUGGAUGGUUAAAAACAACACACUUGCAGGCUUGUAGCUCCUGAUAUUUUCAGCCUCGUGUGAAGAUGGACAAUGAUGGUUGAAAAAUCUUUGUAUGUUUUAUCUAGGUAGAUUACUCAUAAUAAUAAGAUUAUUUUUAAAAAAUCUUUGUCUUUUUUACCUGGGUAGCUCAUCCAUUGUAAUAAGACUACUCGAAAAAAAUCUUUGUAUUUCUCUACUUGAAUAGGUCACCCAUUACAAUAAAACUACUUUGAAAAGACCUUUGAGUUUUUCAUUUGGGUGGGUCACCCAUGAUAAAUUGAACAUUUCAGAAUCUUUGAAUUCUACCAAUAGACAGGUUGCUUGGUACUACCAUAUCACUUCAAAAGUCUUUCACAAAGAUAAUCUUUUUCUUUAGAAACUCUAUCUCCUUUUUUUUCGAGUACACUUUCUAACCCUCAUUCUUCAGAUAGUGUGCUUUUUAUCCCUAUCUAUUUUUUUCUGAGUGCACUUUUAAGCCCUUACUACAAACAUUUUCAGAAAGAUUGACCAUUUCUUAAUAUGGUGAGUCCAUAAUCUCGUUCUUUUUCUUCAUCUUUACAAAACUUAUUGUCUAAAGUCUCUCACGAGACUUUCGUUAUAAAGAUUGUAAAGAGAGAGGCAACUGUCAUAACUCAUUUCUGGAUUAUUCCCUAAAUUCACAUUUUUUUUCUUUCCAAAAUAAAAGUCAAAAAAGAAAAUAAAGAAAGCAAGAAAACUAGCGACAUAUAGGAAUAUUAAGUUGUGACUUUGGAAGCCUAAUUGUAUCCUAUUUUACCCACAACUGGAGAGACAAUGUAAAUUAAAGGUCAAAUUAAAUGAUUAUUGGAUGAAUCUACUUAAAAAUUAAGCUUGAGGAUAUAAUUAGAAUUUUAAUAGGCCAAUUUGAUUUAAUCAUGGGCCAAAUUGAGAAUUUAAUUAUGUUUAAGAAUUAAUUUGGGUAAUUAAAGGAUUUAAUGAGGUGCAAGAACUUAAUUAUACUUUAAAUAGGUCAAAUUAAUUUUAUUAAGGGCUUAAUUGAUGAAAAUCUAAGUUUAGAAGCCCAAUUUGAGCUUAAUUGAGAAAAUUGGAAUUUUAGAAAACCAAAUAUAAUUUCCUUAAAGUCAAUUGGUUCAAAUUAGGGGUAAAAUCGCAAGAAAAACAAAUUUUUUUGGUCAAUUAAGGGUUAAAUUGAAGAGAUUUGCAACUAAGGACCAUUUUGCAAAACAUAUCGAACUAUGGGGUAAUUCAUGAAAAUCAGGGAUGAAAUUGAAGAAAAUUUAAAGUUUGAUGGUCAAAUUGCAUAAAUCCAAGACCAAGGAUCAAAUUGAAAAAGAUGCUAAAAUUCAGGGCUGAUAUUGAAAUCCAGCAAGGGCAAAAUUGUAUUAAAUCAAAAGUUUGGAGUCAAUUAGGGGUCAAAUUGAAAGAAAUCAAAAGCUGAAGGACCAAAUUGAACUUUGGAAAACUACCUUAAUUUAAGGUCCAAAAUGGAUUUGUUUUUUAACAUUAAAAAAAAAAGGCAACCAGACGACGCAUCGUCUAGUUAAUGUCCAUUGUCUUCUUCUUCUGACCCGAAAACGUUGUUUGGAUGGCUAUUUUUCAUGGGCAUUUAAUACUUCAUCUCUCAAUCAAACCGGACAAACCAUACACCACCAUGAUGAGCUGACAUUAUACUUCACCCCAGAGUGGAUCUCGCCGGCUAAUUAUCCCUACAGCCGCCACAGUGUCGCCUCAAAUUGGUCAAUCUAACUAACAUUUAGCAACCAGCUUUUUCAGGUCAUGAUAACAACUUUGAACCAACGGUUAAGAUCCUUCUGUGUCGAAUCAAGAGCCAAGAUUGGCACUAGUAAAGACAAGAUGUCCAUCUUCCAUGCCCCGAGCAUCAAGAAAUUAGAGCCCAAAUUUGGUGCAAAUAAGUUUUUCUUACCAGAUCUUUUGUUCUUCUCCACCAGCCAUCUUCUUCCUCUUCUUUCGCAACAUCUUCGCUUCUUUCGCAACAUCUUCGCUUCCAGCAAUGCUGCCAACAACACGUUGGCCUUCCUAGCAUUGCUAAUUAGCAAUCCCCCAUAGUUGGUAACCUUUUCUUCCCCUUUUUGGAUGCAAACGAGGCAGCCAUUUGUAAGCAUAACAUUUGGUUCUGCAUGCAAAAUUCAACCACUUCAUAUGGUCAUUGGGUCGGGCCAAUGACCAUGUGAAGAUAGGUUGGACCCCUUCCAACCCAACCCAUGAUGGCUUGGUUAAGUACAGCCCAUAAAAAAGGAUGAAGGCCAGGUCUGUUGGGCUGCCUGGCGCCACGACCUGACCCGGCAAGGUCCGGCCCAAAUGGCUGGGUAGGGCCCAGCCCAAUAUAUAUAAUAAUAAUAUUAAAAUAAAAAUAAAAACUUUGAAAGCCCUUCCAAAAAAUUUGUGAUUUUCUCGCACGUUUUUCUAUCAAUUUUGCAUAAUAUCGGGCUGUAUAAUUACACUAUAUGAUACAUAUCCGAUAUUAAAACACCUAGUUUUUUCUGAAACAUUUCAAAAUAAAAUUCAAAAUUUUUUAAAUUAAUUUCCUCUUUCAAAAAAACAAAAAAUGUUUUGUUUUCAUGCAUAUAGUCAAAUCCUCAAAGUUUUCCAAGCAUGUUUUCAAAAAAAAAAAACAAAAAAUUGUAUUUUUCUCAUGUUUUAAAAUAUAAAAUAGAUAUCAUAACUAAUUUAUAAUUAUCCAUUAGGGUUUAACCAAAAUGUCAAAAACCCUUCACCAAUUAUUUUUUUCAUUUUAUAUUAUGGUUUAAAUGUAGACUUAAAUAUUUGGGGGCGUAAAACUAUACAGUAGAGUAUACCCUCAGGUAUUAAAGACAAAAGUUCAAUAUAAAUGCGAUACUAAAAUUUAGACUUUAGAACGGUUGGAUUUAACAUCAUAAGGUAUAGAUUUUGUCAUGAAGAGAGAUCUAUCUUAAACCUUAGACGAUUUCAACGAAUAGAAACUUAACUUAGAAUAACAAUCAAAAAACAAUGUACCUUACUUCAGGUAGGCUGCACUGGAGAUAAUGCGUCUUUUCCUUACACAAUCAGUCUCUUACUCAGACUCUCACAGACUAUAUGUUUCCUAGUAACCAUUAUAUUAAAUGGUGACUCUUAAAUCUUAAUUAUAAUUUUAUGCUUACAUCAAAAACUCUUUUUUUUUCUAACAAUACCUUUCAAGAGGCACUUAAAACGCGUCGUUUGACGUCGCCUGUGACAUAAUCCAUUAAACAUGAAAUGGAAAUAAAUAAGUAAAGAAUAUUGCAAGCAUCAAGUUGUCUAUCUCCGAAAAAAAAAAAGAAGAAGAAAAAUUUUGGAACCUUAAUUAAGUUUGUUUAAAUCUCUAUCACACCCAUUAUUUAAUGUUUGACAAACAACACAUGUAGAAUAGGUGAAACCAAACCUACAGUACAAUAUUUGCAUUUUUGUUGUGUUGUGAGAAAAAAAGAAAAGAAAAAGAACAUGGUCUGUCUCGGAAGGAGAAGGGAAAUUGACCGUUGUCGCUGCUUUUGACAGGGGGUUUGAAAUUAGCAACACCAUCUUGGGACCUUCGAGCAAGUCAACUUUCAUUUAAUUUUCGACUUUAUAAACACGGCUAGCCCACCGAAUUUUAUUAGGGGAAAAGCCCGUUCCCAAGUUGCCAUUGCCAUUAGAUUAUGACUUAUGGCUCACCUGUUUAAGAUAGUUCUAAUAAUAAAAUUUUAGUGGCUGACCGACCGAUCCUCGAAGCAGCAGAUUCUGCAAAGCGUCAAAAAACCAUGCAGCAAAGGGUAAUUAGAAGCAAGUCAGAAAAGCAAAAACCAAAUGGAAACCGGGUGCUGACUGCUCGUCAACUGUCUGUGUGCCCCUCAUUUACGUAUAAAUAAGCACAAGACCAACUUCUUAUUCAUCAACAUCAAAUCAGUUAUCUCGGAAAGCUUCUCUUUAUUUCACAGAGCACAGAGCCAACUCCUGAUUCAUCAAUAUCAUAUUAGUUCUCUCUAAAGCUUCCCUUUAAUUUACGGUUUUAAACCUUCUCUAGUUCUAGUUUGUGAGUAAAUUAAGAGAGACCAAAAAUGAGUGUGGAGAUUUUGGAUGGUGCCACCAUUGUCAACUUUCUGGAGGACGAGGAAGCAUUCAACGCGCAAAUAUGUGACCGCUUCGCCCACCUUGAUUCAGACCAUGAUGGACGGCUUUCCUACGGGGAAAUGUUGAAGGAGCUGCAGUGUUUGAGGUUAUUGGAAACCCACUUCGGCGUGGAUGUGGAA